AGGAUGGAAAACCUGCUUAACUGCCAGCUUCAGGAAGCCUCAGCAGUGCUGCACCUGAGAUAUUGCACUGCUGCUGCAUACAGAAGGACAAGGGUAUAGAUCAGUGACUCCAUUCAGAGGAGGCUAAGGUUGAUGCCAUUUAUCUGACCUCUGCUAGGUAUAUGGCCAACACAAGGCUCACUUGAGAAACAUUCAGGAAAAGAGGAAGAGGUGUUGAGCCUGUCUUAACUCUGGAUCAAGUUCUGAUGGCAAGGGUUUAACCGAGCUUGAAAAUGGCAACUUGACCCCUGGAAUCCCCUUCAGCAGUCAGUGGGUUGACACAGGAGGAAGCAAGGACACGAAGGUGAGAAGGACCAUCUAUGAGGUCUUUGUAGUUAGGAUCCUUGAAGAAGUGAAUAUUGCUUUUCAGCAGGUCUUUCGUAGUUGCAGCCCCAGUAGCAGUGCACAAGGAAGCAAUGGGACUGUGGUGGUAGUGGAGGAUACUCCCAUAGUUGAGAUUAUGCUGCUUUCAGCCAUCAGGAUCACCACUACCACCACAGAAAGUUCCAAGAAGAUGCAGACAAGCCAUUUGCUUCCCAUUUUCUUCUUGAACCCCCUUUGAAGACAGUGGCAUCAGCCCUUGGAGUGUGUCAUGGUGCUACUUGGCAGAGCCCAUACCUGCAGCCACAUCUCAUGCCAUUCUAUUUAGAAAUGCCAGGAUCUAUCCCCAUCCUGCAUCUGUGGCCUCCAGAUUGUCAGUUCACCCCAUCAAAAAUAUACAUGUGGAAAUCAAAGACCUUUAGGCACAGCCAAAGGUUCUAACUUAUCUCUUGAAGAGGCAAAGAAAUACAGUUUUCUCAGUGGUGUUGAAGAAAUGCUACCAGACCUGGGGAAGAAAGGGAAUUUGGUUGCUAGAACAUCUUUGUCACUUUCAGUAUAUGGGGAAUUUUUAAAUCUU
Molecule: long non-coding RNA, 937 nt
Filed under: Chrysolophus pictus (golden pheasant)
Lineage: Eukaryota; Metazoa; Chordata; Aves; Galliformes; Phasianidae
Description: lncRNA (ENSCPIG00010010036.1)
Source: RNAcentral